GCAGUCGGACGGUCUGUCGCUGACAUACGCUGGUAUUUUAAAACGGUUCACAAAGCCACCAAUACAUCGGUAUGUGAGAGGAAAGUCCGGGCAGCACAGAGCAUUCCACUUCCUAAUAUAGAAGCAGUCCGCGAGGGUUGAGUAAUGCAGAAGAAAACAACCGCCCCAUCGGGGUAAGGGUGAGAAGGUGGGGUAAGAGCCUACCAGCGGUAUGGUGACAUGCCGGCUGUGCAUCUUGGAAGCUGCAAGUUCAUGUAUAGUAGCGCUUGAGGGUUGCUCGCCCAAGCUACAGGGUAGAACGCUAGAGUUGUGUGGUGACACUCAACCAGGAUAAAUGACAGACCAUCACGUUCGCGUGAUGACAGAACCCGGCUUACAGGCUGGCUGCAAAG
This 392-nucleotide RNase P RNA is filed under the name Bacteroidaceae bacterium. Its description in RNAcentral is "RNase P RNA component class A". It matches the Rfam family "Bacterial RNase P class A". From Rfam's summary of the family: Ribonuclease P (RNase P) is a ubiquitous endoribonuclease, found in archaea, bacteria and eukarya as well as chloroplasts and mitochondria. Its best characterised activity is the generation of mature 5'-ends of tRNAs by cleaving the 5'-leader elements of precursor-tRNAs. The record is from RNAcentral. Lineage: Bacteria; Pseudomonadati; Bacteroidota; Bacteroidia; Bacteroidales; Bacteroidaceae.